CAGGACGAACGCUGGCGGCGUGCCUAAUACAUGCAGUCGAACGAACUCUGGUAUUGAUUGGUGCUUGCAUCAUGAUUUACAUUUGAGUGAGUGGCGAAGGUGAGUAACACGUGGGAAACCUGCCCAGAAGCGGGGGAUAACACCUGGAAACAGAUGCUAAUACCGCAUAACAACUUGGACCGCAUGGUCCGAGCUGAAAGAUGGCUUCGGCUAUCACUUUUGGAUGGUCCCGCGGCGUAUUAGCUAGAUGGUGGGGUAACGGCUCACCAUGGCAAUGAUACGUAGCCGACCUGAGAGGGUAAUCGGCCACAUUGGGACUGAGACACGGCCCAAACUCCUACGGGAGGCAGCAGUAGGGAAUCUUCCACAAUGGACGAAAGUCUGAUGGAGCAACGCCGCGUGAGUGAAGAAGGGUUUCGGCUCGUAAAACUCUGUUGUUAAAGAAGAACAUAUCUGAGAGUAACUGUUCAGGUAUUGACGGUAUUUAACCAGAAAGCCACGGCUAACUACGUGCCAGCAGCCGCGGUAAUACGUAGGUGGCAAGCGUUGUCCGGAUUUAUUGGGCGUAAAGCGAGCGCAGGCGGUUUUUUAAGUCUGAUGUGAAAGCCUUCGGCUCAACCGAAGAAGUGCAUCGGAAACUGGGAAACUUGAGUGCAGAAGAGGACAGUGGAACUCCAUGUGUGCGGUGAAAUGCGUAGAUAUAUGGAAGAACACCAGUGGCGAAGGCGGCUGUCUGGUCUGUAACUGACGCUGAGGCUCGAAAGUAUGGGUAGCAAACAGGAUU
This 784-nucleotide ribosomal RNA is filed under the name Lactiplantibacillus plantarum. Its description in RNAcentral is "bacterial SSU rRNA". It matches the Rfam family "Bacterial small subunit ribosomal RNA", at positions 25 to 779 of the family's 1533-position model. Lineage: Bacteria; Bacillati; Bacillota; Bacilli; Lactobacillales; Lactobacillaceae. The record is from RNAcentral.